This 440-nucleotide ribosomal RNA is filed under the name uncultured bacterium. RNAcentral describes it as "partial 16S ribosomal RNA". It matches the Rfam family "Bacterial small subunit ribosomal RNA", at positions 338 to 795 of the family's 1533-position model. The record is from RNAcentral.
CCUACGGGGGGCAGCAGUGGGGAAUAUUGCACAAUGGGGGAAACCCUGAUGCAGCGACGCCGCGUGAGUGAAGAAGUAUUUCGGUAUGUAAAGCUCUAUCAGCAGGGAAGAAAAUGACGGUACCUGAUUAAGAAGCCCCGGCUAACUACGUGCCAGCAGCCGCGGGAAUACGUAGGGGGCAAGCGUUAUCCGGAUUUACUGGGUGUAAAGGGAGCGUAGACGGCAGCACAAGUCUGGAGUGAAAUGCCGGGGCUUAACCCCAGGACUGCUUUGGAAACUGUGCAGCUAGAGUGCAGGAGAGGUAAGUGGAAUUCCGAGUGUAGCGGUGAAAUGCGUAGAUAUUAGGAAGAACACCAGUGGCGAAGGCGGCUUACUGGACUGUAACUGACGUUGAGGCUCGAAAGCGUGGGGAGCAAACAGGAUUAGAUACCCGAGUAGUC